Molecule: long non-coding RNA, 543 nt
Filed under: Olea europaea (common olive)
Lineage: Eukaryota; Viridiplantae; Streptophyta; Magnoliopsida; Lamiales; Oleaceae
Description: long non-coding RNA (OEUR_LNC012791)
Source: RNAcentral
CACACUCAAAAUAUUACAAUUGAAUAGUCAAACAAAACACUGUAAAAUUAAAUUGAGGAAAUUAAGAGUAAAUCCACAACUUAAUUACGCGCCACUCCAGAACUCGAAUUCGAACAAAUUCGACACUUAAUGAAAAAAUACAGUAAAUUAGAGUUCAACAGAAACUCAAUUUUCAAUCUACAUGAACAAAAGCAUUCUUAAACAGUAAAAUAUAAAGAUAAUUACCUCGCCAAACACUGAUUUUUAGGGCUUCUUUAUUGAGUCCUCUGACAUAGUUCCCCAAAUACCUCUGUAGCAAAUACGCCACCUGAUCCUCUAACAUCUUUCCGAUUCCUCAAUCUCUCCCACUUCACAAGUAAUUUACAUAUGGAUGCAGGAUGCUUACUAUACAUAGAAUUCUGUGUGUUUUCCCAAUUGGGAGAGGGGGAAGAAGAAAUGGUACGAAGAGAGGGAUUAAUUAUAAUUAUAAUUAAUUAAAAGAAAUAAAAAUGCGUCCUGAAGUUUCUUGAGAUCCAGAAACCGGUGCCAUGUUGACUGGAAAUU